Molecule: long non-coding RNA, 140 nt
Organism: Cydia strobilella
Lineage: Eukaryota; Metazoa; Arthropoda; Insecta; Lepidoptera; Tortricidae
Exons: 2
Source: RefSeq, a predicted model, not a curated record
CAAGAUUUAUUUUAAGCUAGGAGUUGGAAACUUCGUAAAACGAUAUAUUAUUAAAAAACAAGAAAACUAAUUUCAGCGUUUUUGAAAAUUCAUCCCCUAAGGUGGUGAAAAAGGAGUUGAAAGUUUGUAUGGAGAUCAAA